This 499-nucleotide ribosomal RNA is filed under the name uncultured Lachnospiraceae bacterium. RNAcentral describes it as "partial 16S ribosomal RNA". The record is from RNAcentral. Lineage: Bacteria; Bacillati; Bacillota; Clostridia; Lachnospirales; Lachnospiraceae.
CACGUAGUUAGCCGGGGCUUCUUACUCAGGUACUGUCAUCUUCUUCCCUGCUGAUAGAGCUUUACAUACCUAAAUACUUCUUCACUCACGCGGCGUCGCUGCAUCAGGGUUUCCCCCAUUGUGCAAUAUCCCCCACUGCUGCCUCCCGUAGGAGUUUGGGCCGUGUCUCAGUCCCAAUGUGGCCGUCCGCCCUCUCAGGCCGGCUACUGAUCGUCGCUUUGGAGGCCGUUACCCUGCCAACUGGCUAAUCAGACGCGGGUCCAUCGUAUGCCACCGGAGUUUUUCACACAAAAGCAUGCGCUCUCGUGCGCUUAUGCGGUGUUAGCACCUAUUUCUAAGUGUUAUCCCCCUGCAUACGGCAGGUUACCCACGCGUUACUCACCCGUCGCCACUAAGUUAACACCUUCUCCACUCCUAGCAAGCUAUUUGCUUUAAAAUGUUAACUCCGUUCGACUUGCAUGUGUUAAGCACGCCGCAGCGUUCAUCGCGAGCCAGGAUA